Molecule: long non-coding RNA, 2377 nt
Filed under: Theobroma cacao (cacao)
Lineage: Eukaryota; Viridiplantae; Streptophyta; Magnoliopsida; Malvales; Malvaceae
Description: long non-coding RNA (TCAC_LNC006315)
Source: RNAcentral
UUGAAAACAAUUCAUAAAACCCAAUCAUGCAUUCAUAAUGGGAUCAUCAACCAUUAUAUACAUACAUAGAUUAACAAAUGAAUCUUAAUAUUUCACAUCAAGUAUUCAUAUACACAUAAUUAGAGCUUGACCGUCAAUGGAGUAACUCUGGGCACGGUUGCUAAUGUUUAGUGUCAUGUUAAACCUACCGAGCAAUGGAUAGGGAAGAACACCUCGUCCUAAGAUCCAAUCACCUUUAACUCAGGAAACCUAAAACAUGAAUUUUAAAAACGUGAGUACAAACUCAGUGAGUGAACAUAGGAAGGGAACAACCAAAUGUUAAGGAAGGUUUAGAAAUCAUGAUGCAUUUAAGUUCCAAAAACAAUGCAAUUUAACUUAUUUCUUAUCAAAAAACCCCUCAUUCAAAUCCUUGUUGUUUAGUCACUUGAUGACGAAAGACCCAUGAACAACAAAGAAGUUGAAAAGUGAAAACUUUAGUAGAAUUCAAGCAAGUCAAGCAUAAUAGAUUGACUCUCACCACAGCGAAAAGGCAUUCACGUUGCAACGAAAUUCUAGCCAGAUAAAAUCCAAGGGCCUUUCACUGCCACCAGAAAAAUCCACUCAUGCAACAUUGUAUAUUAAAUUGAACACAUUGAUAAUACUUAAGUUUUCAACAGUCAAUGUAAUCACAUAUUAAAUCCAAACAUCUCUAUAUAGUAAAUAUGUAUAUAUAUAAGCACAUAAACCACCAUCUCACCCAGCUCAUGUUCAUCCCCCCACAUCGUGCACAUAGACGGACACCCCGUCUCACCCAACUCAUGUGCAUCCCCCCACAUCAUGCACAUAGCCAGACACCCCGUCUCACCAAACUCAUGUGCAUCCCCCCACAUCAUGCACAUAACCGGAGUCAUCGUGUGCAUCCCCCACCACUUAUAGCACAAGCAAUAUCAUCAUCGUGUGCAUCCCCCCACAUCGUGCACAGCUAAUGCCAUCAUGUGCAUCCUCCCACAUCGUGCACACGAGCAAUAUUACCAUCCAUCUCCCUCACCACCGUCAUCACCGACAAGUGCACACUCACCCCGCACAUGCAUGGUUGCAUUUUGUCACACAAUGUACCAUUUAUGACAUAGCAUAUAUAUAUAUAUCAAUAUUAUACAGAAAUACAUGGAUUCAUCACACUAUCCAUUUCAUAACAUAAAAACAUUUCAUAAGGGCUUGCUCCCGUGAGAGUUUUUGAAGAAAAACCAAUAAAACGUUUUAGGGGAUUCAAUCAAACAUAAAUGUGUAUAUCCCAAAACAUUUUAAUACAAGUUCACUUACAUUACGAUAGCGGGACAUUACAUUGUUAUUUGUUCAAAGGUGUAUCUAGCUAUUCCUACUUGCCGGUCACUCAUUAUUUCCCCCGACACACCACCACAGUACUCUAACUUUACCUUUGCACUUCCUAGCAACCAUACAAAUGCAAUACCUUUAGUAUACGUUAUUCCUACUUCUCUUUUUCCUUCCAACAUGAAUCUUUAUUCAACUAAUUUAUAUCUUGACACAUUUUUACCAAAGUUGCCUUUAUCCUUUACUUGCAUAAUUCUUUAGAUUAUAGAUAUAGACAACUUGUUUAUAACUCUAACACAUAUAUUAACCUUGUCUAAGGAUAUUUAUCAAGUUUAAACAUCAUUUCCACAAAAAUUAGCUAACAUAUGGCAGCAACUACAAAUUUACUUCCAUCAAACACUUUCUAAGUUUACAUAUAACAUUAUUCUCAUUUACAAGUUACCAUCAAGCAUAACAUAAAUAUCCAUUCAUACGCACCAACAUCCAUAACCCUUUUAAGCUUUUCCUAACAACACAUAUAUCCACACAAUUCAUUUCUUUUCCAAAUUUUCAAUUAAUAUAAUUACCUUCCAAUCAUACCCAUGACACCACAAUAACACUACAUAUUGCACACAAUCAUUCUCACCAUAGUAAACCAAUCAUAGGCUUCAAAUUAUAGCAUGAAGCUUACCACUUGGUUUUAACUUGGAUUUCACCCAACAAAGUUCAUAAUUCCCUCACAUCCAUGGCCACCAUAUCUGCAUGAAAAUGAUUCACUCAUUAUUUUUUCAAGGAUUUAACCAACCAUGAACCUAAAACACAAAAUCUUACCUUAGCUUGCUUGACUUACAAAACCAAGCUUUUUCUUCCUUACUCUCUUUUUCUUUCUUCUUCUCCUAGAGCUUAGAUGUGCUGGAAACUAGGGUUAAAAGCUUUAGGUUUAGUGCCCAAGAAGUUUGGAGAAGAAAGAAUUACGAAAAUAAAGGAAAUGAGAAGAAACAAGGAAAAUCACAUGAAAAAAAUUGAUUUUCAUGAACUUGACAUGAAAAUGGCAUUGAAAGCUUCAAGAAGGAGAAGAAAAUAUCUUGCU